This 199-nucleotide non-coding RNA is filed under the name human gut metagenome. The record is from RNAcentral.
AGAACUAAUAUUUUGAUUUGCGGAAUGAAGGGGUAACGCCCUGAAACGCAUACCUAAAACUCCGAUAUGCGAAAAGUCGUGUAAUAGACUUGACGUAUAAAGCUCGGGGAAGUCGGCAGAGGUUUACCCAAACAAUGCUACGGCAGUUGUGGAAAGUUGCUCGGGAGAGUGAUGUAGAUUAUAUGUCGGGGUUCUAUAA